Molecule: unclassified non-coding RNA, 332 nt
Filed under: soil metagenome
Description: partial contains 5.8S ribosomal RNA, internal transcribed spacer 2, and large subunit ribosomal RNA
Rfam family: 5.8S ribosomal RNA (bases 1-120)
Source: RNAcentral
GAUGAAGAACGCAGCGAAAUGCGAUAAGUAGUGUGAAUUGCAGAAUUCAGUGAAUCAUCGAAUCUUUGAACGCACAUUGCGCCCUUUGGUAUUGCUUAGGGCAUGCCUGUUCGAGCGUCAUUUAAACCUUCAAGCUAAGCUUGGUGUUGGGUGACUGUCCGCUUCACGGCGGACUCGCCUCAAAAUUAUUGGCGGCCGGUACAUUGGCUUCGAGCGCAGCAGAAACGCGAACUCGGGCCCGUCGUAUUGGCUCCCAGAAGCUAUCUUCACAAUUUUGACCUCGGAUCAGGUAGGGAUACCCGCUGAACUUAAGCAUAUCAAUAAGCGGAGGA